AUUGAACGCUGGCGGCAUGCCUUACACAUGCAAGUCGAGCGGCAGCACGGGUGCUUGCACCUGGUGGCGAGUGGCGAACGGGUGAGUAAUACAUCGGAACGUACCUUAUCGUGGGGGAUAACGCAGCGAAAGUUGCGCUAAUACCGCAUACGCCCUGAGGGGGAAAGCGGGGGACCGUAAGGCCUCGCGCGAUUAGAGCGGCCGAUGUCUGAUUAGCUUGUUGGUGAGGUAAAAGCUCACCAAGGCGAUGAUCAGUAGCUGGUCUGAGAGGACGAUCAGCCACACUGGGACUGAGACACGGCCCAGACUCCUACGGGAGGCAGCAGUGGGGAAUUUUGGACAAUGGGGGCAACCCUGAUCCAGCAAUGCCGCGUGAGUGAAGAAGGCCUUCGGGUUGUAAAGCUCUUUUGUCAGGGAAGAAACAGCAGCUCUAACACAGUCUGCGAAUGACGGUACCUGAAGAAUAAGCACCGGCUAACUACGUG
RNAcentral lists this ribosomal RNA (485 nucleotides) under uncultured bacterium. Its description in RNAcentral is "partial 16S ribosomal RNA". It matches the Rfam family "Bacterial small subunit ribosomal RNA", at positions 30 to 507 of the family's 1533-position model. The record is from RNAcentral.